RNAcentral lists this long non-coding RNA (437 nucleotides) under Anolis carolinensis (green anole). RNAcentral describes it as "lncRNA (ENSACAG00000041239.1)". Lineage: Eukaryota; Metazoa; Chordata; Lepidosauria; Squamata; Anolidae. The record is from RNAcentral.
AUUUGUCCCUCCAUAGCAGCAGCCAGCUAGAGUUCCAAUAAAUUGUUGGGUCUGCAAAGAGUAGGACUGACUGAUACUUCAAUCCUAGAAAAAGAAUAGAAGAAGACAAAUGAGGAGAAGCUGAGUCUUGAAGCUUCAGGAAAUGAAUGCCAGGAAAGCAUACAUUGAUGGGCAGCCUAAUCAAACUAGAGGACAGAAAUCUACAGGAGUUCUUCUUUUGCAAAAAAGCAGUCACCAGUUUCAAUGUGGGCCCUAUUGGUCACCUGUCACCAGAGGCAGUUCAACCACCAGGCCAACUAGGCAGUUGCCUGUGGCGCCAUCUUGUUGGGGGCACCAUCGAGGCAACUCCUGUCUCCUGCGGCCUGCCUCCGCAAGAUUCUCCAAGAAUUCCAAAUGAAUUCCAUACCUCAUUUCUAGAACUCCCCAAGUCAGCAUAA